RNAcentral lists this long non-coding RNA (396 nucleotides) under Paramuricea clavata. Lineage: Eukaryota; Metazoa; Cnidaria; Anthozoa; Malacalcyonacea; Plexauridae. The record is from RNAcentral.
GGUGUUUCCACAAACAAAAUAUUAUAAUUUUUUUAUUAUUAAUCAGUGUUGUGACGAGUCACCACCAAAGGUCGCGUUUGACGAAACUCUGUCAUGGAAUGCCCAAGUCGACCAAAUUACAAGAAUGGUUAAUUCAGGCCUCAGUAUCCAAAAAAAGAUUGCGAGAUAUGGUAGAUUACCGAACGUUAAUUACAAUAUAUUUAUCACUAAUCCAUCCUCACUUUGACUACUGUUCACAUGUUUGGGGCUGUCUGGGGAAAGGAUUCUCAGAUAGACUCCAGAAGCUUCAAAACAGAGCAUUUCGCAUAAUAACCCAUGAUAAUGAUGAAACACGUUCAGCAGACAUUUUGAACAAGGUCGGUCUUCCUAAUCUACGAACUGGAAGGAGACAUCAAU